AGUUUCUAUCCGUGACGCCUCCAACUCUGAACCAGAAAAAGGACUUCCGCCGAAACCGAACAUACAUACAUCACAUAGCCUCCAUAUUAGGCAGGUUCUUCGCUGAACAUAAGUCCGGAAAUAAGACAUCAACCCUUUCAAAGGUGCAGACAAUAGGAGACGCCGUGGGUGAUGACGAUAGCGAAACGCAACACAGGACUCUUCAUCGACACUGGGGCCGCCGUUUCUUUUCUAAACGACCGGGACCUAAACAAGCAAUUUGUUUCCACCGCUCGAGUCAACGCCAAACUCUUCAUUGCCAGAAAUCUGUCAGUGAAAACCUGUUUGGUAUAGACAUCUUUCUGUAUUAUAAGGCCACCGUUGAUUUGAAAGAGCUUUAACUACGGCUGCCGUGGGGAAAUCUGACGCUGUAUGUCCCAUCUACAGAGCAGCGUAAUUUACUUUCUUCAACUGCGCCUACUAGUAUCAUGCCAUAUAACGACAUUCACUUAACGGUCCAAUUCACGACCGAGGAGCUGCUACCUGUUGCUCUACUUAACCGUGGAGCUCAAUCUCAGUUGUUUCCCAAGGUUUUACUCGGUAGUGCCUAGGUGGACACCUCAAACCAUACCAGUGCCCUGCAUCCCAUGGACGGUUCCACAUGGUUCAGAGUUGAUUAUAGACUUUUGAACGUCGUAACCGCAAAGCACUUACCCCAUUCCAAGAGCUGGCAACAUCUUGACCACCAUGCAUGACGCCUGUUGGUACUUCACGACAGAGUGGCCACUGGCUACCCAUCGCCAUUGCCCGCACACUACAUGAGCUAACAGAAGUUAAACGCUCCUUCGUGUGACCACAAACGUUUCACGAUACCUUCGACACGCUAAAAGUCAAUCUCACGUCGCCACUUGUUCUAAAGCCCCCGGAGGGCUUAUUCAUCCUUGACACAGACGCAUCCAACCAUGCAGGUACGGUGGUGAGUCAAAAUCAACUCGGCCAAGUGCGAGUACUGGAAUAUUACAGAAAAUUAUUUAGUGCGUUCCAACGCAACUACUUUUUAACUCGGAGAAGCUGCUAGCCGUGCUCCUAUGAAAUUUAAUAGAAAACAAAUAAAGAAAAAAAAAAUGCUACAAACUAAAAAAA
Drosophila simulans is the source of this 1122-nucleotide long non-coding RNA. RefSeq lists it as uncharacterized. NCBI's taxonomy places the organism in Eukaryota, Metazoa, Arthropoda, Insecta, Diptera, Drosophilidae. The transcript is spliced from 2 exons. The record is from RefSeq and is a predicted model, not a curated record.